UAGGGAAUAUUGGACAAUGGGCGCAAGCCUGAUCCAGCUAUGCCGCGUGUGUGAAGAAGGCCUUCGGGUUGUAAAGCACCUUGGUCCGGUAAGAUCCGCGCUGGGUUAAUACCCUGGUGUCCUGACGGUACCGGAAGAAUAAGCACCGGCUAACUUCGUGCCAGCAGCCGCGGUAAU
RNAcentral lists this ribosomal RNA (177 nucleotides) under uncultured bacterium. RNAcentral describes it as "partial 16S ribosomal RNA". It matches the Rfam family "Bacterial small subunit ribosomal RNA", at positions 355 to 524 of the family's 1533-position model. The record is from RNAcentral.